GAUCCUGGCUCAGGAUGAACGCUAGCUACAGGCUUAACACAUGCAAGUCGCGGGGCAGCAUGAAUUUAGCUUGCUAAAUUUGAUGGCGACCGGCGCACGGGUGAGUAACGCGUAUCCAACCUUCCCCCUGUCCACGGGAUAGCCCGUCGAAAGGCGGAUUAAUACCGUAUGAGGUCACACGAUGGCAUCGGAGUGUGACGAAAGGUUUUGCGGACAUGGAUGGGGAUGCGUCCGAUUAGCUAGUUGGCGGGGUAACGGCCCACCAAGGCGACGAUCGGUAGGGGUUCUGAGAGGAAGGUCCCCCACAUUGGAACUGAGACACGGUCCAAACUCCUACGGGAGGCAGCAGUGAGGAAUAUUGGUCAAUGGGCGAGAGCCUGAACCAGCCAAGUAGCGUGCAGGAUGACGGCCCUAUGGGUUGUAAACUGCUUUAUAAGGGAAUAAAGUGAGCCUCGUGAGGCUUUUGCAUGUACCUUAUGAAUAAGGACCGGCUAAUUCCGUG
This 502-nucleotide ribosomal RNA is filed under the name uncultured bacterium. RNAcentral describes it as "bacterial SSU rRNA". It matches the Rfam family "Bacterial small subunit ribosomal RNA", at positions 15 to 507 of the family's 1533-position model. The record is from RNAcentral.